AAAGUCGUAACAAGGUCUCCGUAGGUGAACCUGCGGAGGGAUCAUUAACACGUUAUUUCAACGUUUAUAACUAUACCAAUCAACCGCGUGAAACAACUGAAUCAACCAACCCCUUUCACCACACUAUAACUACAGACUGAUAUUGUUAUCUAAGCUAUGGUCUGGUGCGCGCUUUAAACCGCGUAUUGGAUUGUAGCGUAGCGUAACAAACUUAAUCAAAUAUCUAAGCACAACUCUUAGCAACGGAUAUCUUGGUUCUC
Molecule: unclassified non-coding RNA, 260 nt
Filed under: Ascomycota sp.
Lineage: Eukaryota; Fungi; Ascomycota
Description: partial contains small subunit ribosomal RNA, internal transcribed spacer 1, and 5.8S ribosomal RNA
Rfam family: Eukaryotic small subunit ribosomal RNA (bases 1-47)
Source: RNAcentral